Molecule: long non-coding RNA, 13154 nt
Organism: Pongo pygmaeus (Bornean orangutan)
Lineage: Eukaryota; Metazoa; Chordata; Mammalia; Primates; Hominidae
Exons: 6
Source: RefSeq, a predicted model, not a curated record
CCUUUCUAUCCAAACCUUCCAAUUUCCCUGAAAUUUAUUCAUUAGAUAUGCAUUUCUUAGUCUUCUGGAUCUUUUCUCAGAAAUCCACCGUUAGGGGUACAAAUACUACUUAAGGAGCCGGUUUUACAUACUUUACAUUUUCCUCGACAUCCCGAGUAAGCCCGCCAGAGGUCAGACGGGGAACAGGUGAGGUCAGAAAAUGGGAGAAGGUGGAAAAAAAAAUGUUUAUCUUUUAGGUGGAAAAACAAUGUUUAUCUUUUCAGCAUGUUCUAGUUCUCUUGCCCCAGCAUAAUAAUGUGUACUUGCCAUUUUCAAAGAAAGGAAACAGGAAAUGCCCAUUUCUGGACCUGUAACUACUCCCGUACUCAUGAAACACCGGCUUAUUACUGAGAAAAACGGCCACCCAUAAUUCAAUUUAAGACCUUUAUUGAAUGGAGGAAUCUAGAGAUAAUACCCAAAAGGCAGUAAAGUGCCUUACUGGUCAGCUGAGUGGCGGACAUGAAGAUGUGCCCGUCUCUGAUGACAUCUGUGCCAGUGAGAUAGUAAGAGUUUCACUCAAAAUCUGAAAGAACCACGUGCACUUUUAAAGCCAAAGCUUUGGAAGCACAUGUAUUUCUCCAGAAUUAUUGUCCCCUGCUCCAGAGGUAGGCAGCCUCUAACAUAGGGAAGUACCUAUCUGAUAAUGAUAGCUUCGAUUAUGUUUUACAUAGAACGUUUUCUGUAUACACACACACAUAUACACGCACACACACACAUAUGUGAAUCUAACACACAUACACACAUAUGCAUGCACACAUAUAUACAUACGUAUCUAACACACAUACAUACAUACACACAUAUACAGGCACACACACAUAUAUACAUAUGUAUCUAACAUAUAUACGUACAUGUCUAUAUAUACACACACACAUACACACACGUAUUCCCCACCCCACCACCAUAGUUUGAACAACUCUUAAAACAGCAUACUUUUUCUAAUUUUCUCUUAGGGAAUGCAACUGUUCUCCUUGUCCCUCCUCCCCAUUUCCCCACAGACUUGCACCCAAUAUGCUUCUCUUCUCCAGUGUCCAGAGGUAGCAGUGUUCACUGAGUUUUGCAAUCCACAUUAUGAUGGCUGUAUUCACUCUUACUAGAGAAACACACAUUUGAUGCUGGGAAUGAUACUGACUCUAGAUGCAGCAAACAUCAUUGUCACAGUUAUUAGAUGGAGAAAAGAUGAAACCAGGAAUUGAUUUCAUCAUCAUAGUAAAGAACUGACUAUUGUAUAAUGUCUAUUUUCUGGAAACAUCAUCUGUUUCAAUGAUUGUGUUUAUGUUUGUACCCACAGCCUAAGGCCUGAUUCAUAGAAAUUUAAAAAUAUGUGUAGGAUGAAUUAAAAUUACGAAUACAUAAACAGGGUGGAUAGCCUAUUUCUUUGUUAAGGUCACUGAAUCAGAAGGAAAAUGAUAUUAAACAUAGGUAGUUAAGGGAUAACUUAAUGUUUUCAGAGGUUAUUGUCAGAAAUACCAAAAAUAUACUAUCUUUAUGUAGAAUAUAAAAAUGUAUAACUGCACCGAAUUGAUUAAAUUUAUUUAAAAAUAUGAUUUAAUUUCUUACUAAAGGGAUGGAAAAUAAAAGGACAUAGAAAGGUUCUGCAGGGGACAGAGGGAUGAAAGUUGUGACUGUAAGGGAAGGAAGCUGCAAUGCUGGUAGAGGAGGGGCACGAUAAGAAGAUAAGAAACAUGGAGAGAAAGAAAAGUAUGAGAAUCCCUUGAUUUCUGGCCAAGAACAUCAGCAGUCAUCAGAAAAUCCCUCUUAAACCCUGCUUAAUAUCCUGAAUUUGUGAAAAUUUGCCUAAACAGUUAAGUUGUUUGUGUUACCACUGAUAGAGCUACGUCAUACAGGAGAGUGAAACCAAACCAAUAAUUCUCACUUCCACAGUCAAGAACUUCACUUUUCCCACUUUUUCAUAAAAGGCACACUGAGUCAUGAAUGUAUAUGGUACAAUAAUUUUAGUUCAAUUUUUUAAAAUUUAUGAAUGCAUGUUGGCAAGUCACAUAACUCCAUCUUGUCCAGAGUCCCUACUUGUAAUUUGCAACCGGUGAUCUAUUUAUUUGUGUUUUCGUGUACAUAUGUAUGUGUAUGCAGACAUAUUAUCAACAUCUAACCGAAGGCACUGCAGUGUGUACAUCUAGGUUACACAUAUGGAAACUGAAGCUCAAAAAUAAAAAUAAAAAAUCUGUAUUAUUUGUCCCUGCUGGUAAAAAAUAUGUAAGCAUUGCAAUUUUGAAUACCUAGGGUUAAUACUAAACCAUUUGCACGUUAGAAAAUGACUACCAAAAAAAAAAAUCAUUUAAAAAGGUGUUCUUGGCUGGGCACGGUGGCUCAAGCCUGUAAUCCCAACACUUUGGGAGGCUGAGGAGGGCGAAUCACGAGAUCAGGAGAUUGAGAUCAUUCUGGCUAACACGGUGAAACCCCGUCUCUACUAAAAAUACAAAAAAAAUUAGCUGGUCCUGGUGGCCGGCGCCUGUAGUCCCAGUUACUCGGGUUGCAGUGAGCCGAGAUCACGCCACUGCAGUCCAGCCUGGGGGACAGAGUGAGACUCCGUCUCAAAAACAAACAAACAAAAAACAAAACAAAAAAAUGAUGUUCUUGAUCUGUAAUGUGUUUCGUCUCUUGCUUCUCCAAAUUCUUCAGCAUUUAUCAUUAUGGUGAAUCUAAAAAAAAAAUCACUAACAUAAUAUACUCAUUUUUGAUACAUAUUUCCACUUUAUAAAACAUAGAUUUUCUAACUCUCCUAUGUUCACUUUGCUUGUUAGAGUAUACCCUCCACCACCAUCCCCAUCUCAGCUUUUUUUUUUCCUACAUCUGACAUAUCCAGUAUGUACGUUCAGGACAUUGGAACAAAGACAGGAAGACUUUAGACAAGCUCUUCAAUUAUAUCUGAAGUCAGGGAGAAAGAAGGGCAGUAGAUUAGCUGUUAGGGAAUUUAAGGUUGUAGAAAUUCUGGGCAGUGAAAAAGUUAAUUUGCCAGAGGGACAGCACCAUUUUCCUUUAUCUGUGUGAAGACAAAUAGAAUCUGUGUGCCAAGUGUGACUGUCACCAAUCUCUUCCUUCCUAUCCCACGAAAGGGCCUCAUUUGAUUCUUUCUUAUUUUCUUCCUUCCAAUGCAGGAUCCUUGCAAAUCCUGUUCCCUGUGCUAAGACCGCACCAAUUUCCUCCACUAUUCAGCUAAGGUAACUCUUAUUCAUCUCCAAGCUCCAGAGACACAAGACCAUCACACAAUUAAAUGUAUUCAAAAGUUCCUGUAGCUUGCCAGGAUAAAGUCCAAAAUCCUUAACAUGGACAACAACAACAAAGAUCUUGUGUGAUCUAACUUCACACAGCUCUGGUGUCAUAGGCGAUACUCCAUGAAUGCCUGUGGAAUGGAUAACCAAAUGAAGGGAGUUUACCAGUGGAACAGAUCAGAUUCAGAUUUGAUGAGCAGCAAAUCAAUGAAACAGACACAUCACCACAGUUGAAAAUGGAAGAUGGAGAAAAAUUGAUAUAAUAGAGGACAGUAUAGAAUACCAAAAAAAUUGACCUGAGACUUCAUAAUUCUGUUCCUGUAAACAAGGGCCUUCAGGUUUUAAAUAACAUACUAGACAUUGUUAUUCCUUCUGUGUAGCAGAUACAAGAGGCAAUAUUUUCACUUUUAUGUUGGAGGUGAUGUCGUGGCAUACCUCGGACCACUGGAGCUAACUGAAUGUUACAUCCUGAAUCUUCGUAAGGUUUCUCUCCCAUCCUCUGGAGUGCCUGUGUCUUACUGAGCCUACAGCAGUACAAGCUAGAAGCCAACUCUUGCUCAUCUUGCCUGCUCAACAUGAUGUCAUCAAUGCAGUGGAUUAAAGUGAAGUACCACGUGAUGUCCAGAUGGCCUGGACUCUUCAGAUUUUAUUAUGAUGGCGUGCAUGAACACUGAUACAGCUCCAGGGAAAAACUCUGAGUAAUUCUGUUGUCCAUUGCACAUGAAAGUUAACUUUCUGAUUAUUUCUUUUGAUUCUAAUAGAAAAACAUGUAUUCAAUCAGGUAAUGAUCACAUACCACAUACCUGAGGCUUUGCUAAUCUGCUUCAGCCAUGCUACAAAAUCCUGCAAUCAGGAUUACUAUUUGAUUGAGCUGGCAGUAAUCAUUUUUGUGGAUCAUCUGGAUUCUUCUUCUGAGAAACAACUUGUGAAUCAAAUUUCCAACUGUAUCACUCACCCAUGCAUGCAUCCUGAAACUUUAAUAGUAGCAUUACUAUCUGCCAUACACACACACACACACCAAACACGCACAUGCUUAAUGAGGUGGGAUUUUGUUUUUGAUCUACAUAAAAUGUUGGCAACUGGGAGGUUUCAGAGGAUUUCACCUGUCUUCCUCAUUGAAAUAUUAGGGCCCUAUUAUGGGUGUUAUUCCAAAUGUCUAAUAUGUAAGCAUAAAUUUCAUACUUGGGAAUCAGAGAAUUAAGUUGACAAGCACGUGGGUGGUCAGAGAGUGGAUCCAUUAUAGGCCAGAAUUUAACCGGCACUCUAUCAAUUACCUGGUUCCGUAUGCAUCCACUCUAACCAGAGAACAAUGGUUUGCAUCACAUCAAUGUCAACUUAGAUAUGUGUCCCUUAGUUCACGCAUGGUCUGGAUGUUCCCUUUUUCUCAAUGUGCAGAAACUGACAUAGUUUCUUUGAGUAAGGAAAAUAAUUCCAAUAUAUAUUUGUUGGGGUGCGGCAGAGUUCUUCCACCUAGAGACCUAGAUAUCGCUUUAGUUCAUGAGUUCCAGAUUUAAAACUGGGCUGUUUCUCAAAUGGAGCAAGGGACAUAGCUGGCUACCUAAUUAAUGGGUCUCAUAAUUAAUGGGUCUCAAUGGAAAUCAAAUUGUGAGGUCCCUUAUUGAAAAAGCAGAAAACAGAGCUGUUGACAGUAGUGCUAUACUAAUACCUGGGGCUGUUUCCUUUCUUUUGCUGUGUCUCAUUAUUUGUCAUGACACUUUAUAUUUGUUACCUGAUGUUUUCCAAGAAAAACAAUUAAUUUAAAAUAUUUUUAAAAAAUAAUUAUUUUGAAAUAUUUUCUAAAAAAUAGAAGUAGAAAAUAUGAAACUUGGAGAUCUACCUGAAGUAGCAAAGUUGGAAAUCAGUGGUGAUGAGUUCCUCAAUUUUCUUCUGAAACUACUGUGGCUAUUUAAUAAUAAAAAUGAUGCAGAGUAUCUUUACUGAGUUAUCUAAAAUUAUCAUAUUAUUAGAAUGGCUUUCUCCUCAGAGUUUUACUUUAAUUUGUGAAGAAAUAGCUAGUACUGUUGAAGAUUUCAGAGAAGGCUUCAGAAGUUUCAAAAGAGGCAGGGAGCGGUGGCUCUCACCUCUAAUCCCAACUCUUUCGGAGGACGAGAAGGGUGGAUCAUUUGAGGUCAGGAGUUCUAGACCAGCCUGGCCAAUGUGGUGAAACCCCAUCUCUACUAAAAAUAUAAAAUUAGCCAGGCAUGGUGGUGCACGCCUGUAAUCCCAGCACUCAGGAGGCCGAGGCAGGAGAAUCAUGAAUCAUUUGAACCCGGGAGGUGGAGGUUGCAGUGAACCGAGAUUGCAACACUGCACUCGAGCCUGGGAAAACAGUGAGACUCUGUCUCAAAAAAAAAAAAAAAAAAAAAAAAAAAAAAAGAAGAAGAAUAAGUUGCAAAAGAAACAGAAAAACUGGUUGAAUUCAUAAAUUCAUACACCGUCAAUGGAAGAUGUAUCUACAUGGAAUUGUGGAAUUUUGAAGAAAACAGCUGUUACAGUGCUCCAUAUGGAUUUGAGAUUUUUUGUUUCAUCUGCAUACUGACUUUACAGAGAAAAUAAUUCCAAUAUUUUUUCUGAGCAAUGUAUGUAUGUAUUUUGUCAUCCUAAACUAUUUUUGAAAAGUUAUCUUUAACAUUUUGGCACAAUAUAACAAUAUUUUUUGCAAAUACUCCAUAGAAAAAAAUAUGAUAGCAUAAGCCAGAGGCUUUUCUCGUAUAAAGGGGUUUGUCUGAGUUAUAAAUAUAAUGCAAUUGUAUUUAUGUUGAUUUUUAUCAAGGAAUAAUUAUAAAUAUUUUUAAAUAAAAAAUAAAAAUAAUUGACUGGGCAUAGUGGCUGACGUCUGUAGUCCCAGCAGUUUUGUAGGCUGAGACAGGUGGAUCACCUGAGGUCAGGAGUUUGAGACCAGCCUGGGCAACAUGGCAAAACCCCAUCUCUACUAAAAAUACAAAAAUUAGCUAAGCACAGCUGCAUGAACUUCUAGUCCCAGUUACUUGGGAGGCUAAGGUGGGAGGAUCACAUGAGCCCUGGAGGCAUAGGCUGUGGUGAGCUGAGAUUAUGCCACUGCACUCCAGCCUGGGCAACAGAGUGAGACCCUUUCUCAAACAAUAAUAAUAAUAAUAAAUUUUCUGCAUGGAUGUUAUAAUGUAAUGUGCCUUUGUAUUGUACUAUGUGAUUUUUAAUUGCAAAGAAUGAGAGCAUUUCAUUGAUAUAAGAAAUCACUGAAAUUACUCAAUUUGUAUUUUAUAACUCUGACAUGGCUCUGUAUUUCAUUCUUAAAAGAACAGUGGAAACACUGCACAAAUGUAACUCUCUCUCUUAAUACAUUCACAUUCUACCAACGCUCUGUAAGAUGUGCACUUUAUACUCACUUUGAGUCUCCCACACAGUGUGGGUGCACUGGAGUUCUAUGCUCGGGGGCAUCAUGAACUUUGUAUGUGAGUGAGGUGGCAAGGACUUGUAGGAGAUGUGCACACUGCAUAAACCUCCUUUUCUCAGGCACAAGCUUGAUUGGCCCAUUAGACUUCACUUACAAAAUACAAGUUCAAAGGAAAAGUUGGCAAUAAUUUUAAGGUGUAAAUAGCGGAGCAUUAAAUUAAAUGUGAGGCCAUUUUGAGCAUGGGACCCUGUGUGACUACACUGGUAACACACUCAAGAAUCCAGUCUUGGUCUUGAAACAGAAUUUUUAAUUUGUAUGAAUUAGCUGGCAUCAGGCUUCUCCUCCUCCUCUUUUGUCCCUACAGGUGCUAUGUUCAGUUAAAUACUACAGGGAACAACUCUCUGCAGGCCUAGCCCCACAACUAUCGGCUCCUGCCCCUACAUUGUCCCUAUGACUUGGGAGUCCCAUCACCCCCACAGUGUCACCAUUUCUCUUAAACAGCCUGAAAUUCCCAAAAGAGCAUUUUACCAUUCAACAUUGCACUUCCUAGAAACUGAACUAAACCUAACUUUAUUUUCCUUAAAAAGUAGUUAUUUCACCGAGAUUCCAAAUUUAUUUGUAUGGAACUCUGCUGGUCUUUGCUAGUGUCAUGUGGCUAUUGAGGACUUGAAAUGUGGCUCAUCUAACUUGAGAUUUGCUGUAAGUGUAAAAUAAGCACUAAAUUUGUAACAUAGAUGCUCUUCAACUUAUGAUGGAGUUUGCAGAGCCUUAGCAACCUUUGGGACUAUAACAAAGAUUUAACAUUUAUGUCAUAGGAGUCUUAAAAAGAGAUGAGAAAGAGAGUAAGGCUGAAAAAGGAUUCAAAAAAUUAAUAGCUGGGAACUUCAAAUUUUGGCAAAAGAUGUAAAUAUACUGAUACAAGAGUAAGGGAAUCCAAAAAAGGAUGAAUUCAAAGAAAUAUACAACAAGGCACAUCAUAAUUAAACUUCUGAAAACUAAAGAUAAAGAUAAAUGUUGAAAACAUCUAGAGAAAAAGGACACCUUACCUAUAGGACAAAAAAAAAAAAAUUCAAAUGACAGCAGGUUUUUCAAAUCACAAAGGACAUGGCACACCAUAUUUCUGGCAUGCCAGAAGGACAUGGCACACCAUUUUUCACAUUCUGAAAGAAAAAGAUUGUUACUCUAUAAUCUCAUAUCCAGCAAAAUUAUUCUUUCUGGUAAGACAAGGAAAUUAAGACAUGCUCAGAUAAAGGAAAACUAAGAGAAUCUGUUGCCAGCAGUCUUACUCUAGAAGAAUGGCUUACUGGAGUUCUCUAAAUAGAGAAAGCCAAAAGAAAAGGAACUUGAGAACAUUGAGGAGAAAGAAAGAACACGCUAAGCAAAACCAUGAGUAAAUAUAACACACUUUUCUUCUCUAGAGUUUUCUAAAUUAGUCUGAAGCUGAAGCAAAAAUUAUAAUACUUAACACUGUCUGAUGUAUUUCUAAAUAUAUAUAGAAGAAACAUUUAAAAUAAUUAUAAGUGGUGAAGGGUAAAGAGAUGUAAAAGGAGGUGAGGUUUCUAUAUUUUACUCAAACUGGUAAAAAAAAUAUCAGUAGACUGGGAUAAGUUCUGUAUGCAUAACUAAAUUAAAAAGCUAUAUAAAAACACAUACUCAAAAAUACUAUGGAUAAGUAAAAAUGAAAUUGUAAAAUAUGUUUAAGUAACCCAUAGAAUGGUAUACCCACAAAAAAAAACCAGGAUAUAAACAGUGGUAAUAAACAUAAAACCAAAAAAUGAAAUAAAAUGGCAGACAAGUGCUAACAUAUCAAUAAUAAAAUUAAAUGUAAAUGGUCUAAACAUCCUAAUUAAAAAACACAGAUUUUCAAAAUGGAUUAAAAGACGUCUCAACUAUAUGUUGUCUAUAAAACUCAUUUAAAAUAUAAAAACCUAUAUAAGUUGAAAAUAAAAAAUGGAAAAGAUAAAUCAUGCUACAGUUAGGCUGAAAUAUGUCCCCCAAAGAUAACAGGUGGUAAUUCCUGGAAUCUAUGAUACCUGAUUUGGGAAAGAGGUCUUUGAUGUAAUGGUAAAGGAAGGAUCUUGAGAGGAGGAGCUUAUCUCAAAUUAUGUAGAUGUGCCCUAAAUGCCAUCAUAAGUGUCCUUAUGAGAAAAAGGAGCAGAGAGAUUAAACAAACAGAAGAGGAGGUAACAUGAUCUUUGAAGCAGAGAUUGCAGUGAUGUAACCAUUGGAUGCUGGAAGAGGCAAGGAACAGACUCUCCCCUAGAGAGAAUGUACCACUGCCAACACCAUAAUUCCAGACUUUUGGCCUCCAGAACUGUGUGAGAGAAAUUUCUGUUAUUUUAAGCCACCAGUUUGUGUUAAUUUGUUAAAGCUGCCACAGAAAAUGAAUACACAUGUCAACAUUAGUAAAAAGAAAACGGGAAUGACUUUAUUAAUAUCAUAUAGAAUAUAUUCAGAGCUAAGAAUAUGACCAGGGAGAGAACAGGACAAUAUAGAAUGUUAAAAAGCAAGCCAUCAAGAAAACAUAGCAAUUCUAAAUCUGUAUUACCCAAACAAGAGGCCUACAAAAUGUGUGAAGCAAAAAUGAAUAGAAGAAAAAAAAUAGUCAAAUCAGGUAUUAUAUCUGGAAACUUAACACUCACUCUCAGCAAUGGAUAGAACAAUUAGAAAAUAGACAAAAAUGUAAAAGGACUAAACAAUACUAUUAGGAGGACUUAAUCAACAGUUACAGAAAACUCUGCUCAAGCACAGUAGAAUACACGUGACUGUCAAAUGUCUGCAGAAAGUGUACUAAUAUUGGCCCAGCCAUCAAACAAAUCUCAACAAAUUUAAAACAUAUGCUGUGUCCUCCAAACACAAUGGAUUUAAAUUAAAAAAUCAAUAAGAGAAAGAUAAUAGAAAAAUCUCCGAGUACAUAAACUAAACAACAGACUUUAAAAAAAAAUCCAUGGGUAAGGUAAAAGUCUUGUACAUGUACCCACUGAAUCUAAAAUAAAACUUUAAAAAAAAAUCCAUGGUUAAAAGAAAAAUUUUGAAGAAAAAUUUAAAAAAUACAUUUAAUCCAAUAAAAAUUCAACAUACUAAAAUUGGGCAGAUACAACCAAGGCAGUGCUGAAAUGGAAAUUGAAAAAACUAAGUGCAUACAUUAGAAAAUAGGAAAAAGUCUCAAAUCAGUAAUCUAAGCUUCAACCUCACAAGACUGGAAACAAAGAGCAAAAUUAUUGCAAAUCAAGGAGGAGGAAGGAAAUAAAUGUAAGAGCAGAAAUUAAUGAAAUUUAAAAUAAGAAAAUAACAGGUAAUAGCAAUCAAACAGAAAAAGCUGGUUAUUUUAAAAGUUCUGUAAAACUGAAAAUCCUCUAAUAAGACAGAUAAAGAAUAAAAGAGACAAGAAAUAAAUUGUCGAUAUCAAGUCUGAUAUAGGUCUACUGACCCUGCAAACAUCAAAAUGAUAAUAAGGAAAUAAUACAGACAUCUCCACACACAUAAAUUUGACAACUAAAUAAAAUAGCCUGAUUUCAAAAAUAAAAAAUCACAUCUUACCUCAUGUGGAAUAGUUAAUUUGAAGCCACAUAACUCAAGGAAUAUGUAACUUUGAAAUCCUAAAAAUGAAAUCUCUUAGCCCAGAUAGUUUUACUUUUGAAUUAAUUUGAAGCCACAUAACUCAAGGAAUUUGAAUAUGUAACUUUGAAAUCCUAAAAAUGAAAUCUCUUAGCCCAGAUAGUUUUACUUUUGAAUUAUAUCAGACCUUUAACAUUUCUAUACACUGUCAUCCAGCAAAGAGAAUAUAAGGGAACACUUCCCAAUUUAUCUUAUGAAACUAGUAUUACCCUGAUAACAAACUAGACAAAGUCAGUACCAAAAAAAAAGUAAGGAAGAAAGAAAACUACCAAAUAUUAACUUUCAUGAAUAUAGACAGAAAAAUCCUUAACAGGAUAUUAUCACAUACAAUUCUUCACCUCACUAAUCAAAUGGAUGCAUUCCAGCCAGGGAUGUAGUUUGGUUUAAUGUUUGACUAUCAAUCAAUAUUAUUCACCAUGUUGAGAGGAUAAGGAAGAUCCUAUCAAUCAAUGUAGAGAAGGCAUUUGACAAAAUUCAACACCCAUUCAUGAUGAAAACUCUCAGAAAACUACUAAUAAACAACAAUAAGCACAUAGGGAAAAUCUACAAGUAACAUUGUACUUAACGAGGCAAGAUUGAAUAUUUUCCUCCUACAAUUGGGAAUAGGACAAAAACAUUCACUCUCAGCACUGUCAUCCAACAUAGUGCUGGAACUUCUAGCCAGUAGAAGAAAACAAAAUAAGUGGCCCGAGUGUGGUGGUUCAUGCCUGUAAUCCCAGCACUUUGGGAGGCCGAGGUGCAUGGAUCACGAGGUCAGGAGUUCGAGACCAGCCUAACCAACAUGGUGAAACCUGUCUCUACUAAAAAUACAAAAAUUAGCCCGGCAUGGUGGUGGGUAUGUGUAGUCCCAGCUACUUGGGAGGCUGAGGCAGGAGAAUUACUUGAACCUGGAAGGCAGAGGUUGCAGUAACCUAAGAUGGCACCACUGCACUCCUGCCUGGACAACAGAGUGGGACUCCCUCUCAAAAAAUAAGUAAAUAAAUAAAUAAAUAAAAGCAUACAGAUAGGAGAAGAAGAAAUAAAACUGCCUUUAUUUACAAAUGAAAUGGUUGUCUAUGUAGAAGAUACAAAGGAAUUUAAAAAAAAAAAUAGAAGUAACAAGUGAACUCAGCAAAGUCACAGAAUAUAAGCUAAACAUUUUUUAAUCAUGUUUUUAUAUACUAGCAAGGAGAACAUGAAGCCUGGAAUUAAAAAUACAUUUGCAUUUGCAAUCAAUAAAAAAAGAAAUAUUUAUGUGCAAAUGUAACAAAACACAUAGACCACUUCUAUGCUGAAAUCUACGUAAUGCUAAUGAAAGAAAUAAAUGAAGUAAAUAAACAAAGAAAUAUACACUUUUCAUGCAUUGGAAGAGUCAGCCUUGUAAAGAUGUCAAUUCACUUUCCAUUGACGUACAGGUUGACUGUAAUUUCUAAUAAAAGCCCAGAAUGAUUUUUUUGAACUAUAGACAAGUUUAUUCUAAAAUUUCUUUGAAAAUUUAAAAUACUAGAAUAGAUAAAUCUAUUUUCAAAAAGAAGAAUAAACUGAGAGAAAUCAGUCUACCUAUUUUCAAGACCCAUUGGAUAGCUACAGUAAUCAAGACUGUGAUAGUAGCACAGAAAUAGAUGAAUGGAACAGAAUACAGAACCCAGAAAGGCCUGUGCAAAUACUGUCACCUUAUCUAUGACUAAGUUUCAAAAGCAACUCAAUAGAGAAAAGAUAAACUUCUCAACAAAUUUUGCUAGAGCAAUUGAACAUUUCUGGAGAGACAAAAAAGAUAAUUAACCUUAACCCAAGUUUCACACCUUACACAAAUCAAUCUUAGAGCUAAAAUGUAAAAUGUACAACUGUAAAAGUUUUAGAGAAAAGAAAGAUAAAAUAUUUGAGAUCUAAAGCUAAGGGAAGAGUUGUUAGACAACACCAAAAAGCAUGAUUCAUUAAAAAAACACAAAAAUUUGACUUUAUUAAAACUAGAAGUUUUGCUCUAUGAAAGACCCUGUUAAAAGAAUGAAAAGACAAUUUAAAAAGUAGGAGAAAAUAUAUGCAGACUACAUAUAGAAAAAAGGACUAGUAUCUGAAAUAUAUUUUUUGAAAGCUAUCAAAACUCAACUGUUAAAUUCUAAACAAUCCAAUUACAACAUGAGCAAAACACAGAAAGAAACACUUUCCCAAAGACAUACUGAUGGCAAAUAAAGACAUGAAAACAUGUUCAACAUCAUCAAUAGGUCAACGCAAAUUAAAAUCACACUGAGAUAUCACUCUAUGCCUAUUCAAAUGGCUAAACAAAAAAUAGCAUCUAUAACAAAUGACGGCAAGGAUGCAGAGAAAAUGGAUCCUCACAUUGCUGUUGGAAACGUGACUUGGUACCACCAGCAUUACCACUAGAAAGCAUUUUGGCAGUUUCUUUAAAAAUUAAACAUGUAACUAUCACAUGACAUAGCAAUUUCACCCUUGCUGGGGGCAUUGAUCCCAAAUAAAUAAUCUUUAUUUUACUGCUAGUGAUGUGUUAAUGUUUCCUGUUGUUAACAUGUUCCUAUUUCUUCUCAAUCUCUGGUAUUUUCUUUUUUGUAUAUGUAAUUAAUGUGUAUUUGUGAGAAUAUGUGGGUAUUUGGGCAUAUUUAAAGCACUGAUGAUCAUAAUUGUUGUAUAACCAUUCUGAAUUGUUUUUAUUACUAAUCAUAGUCUUUUUCUCAUUUACUGCUUUUCAUCUGAACUAUAUUUGUUCCGAUAUAAAAUUCUCAAUCCGUGUUUUUUUAUUGUUUCAUUUGCCUGUCGGGUUUUUGUUCAUCCCUCUGUUUUUAGUCCUUUCGAAUCACUGUUUUAGGUGUGUUCCCUAAGACUGGGUUUACCUUGAUAAACCACUCUGAAAAUCUUUGUUGUGAAUUAUUAAUAGUAAAACACACUCAUGUUUAUUGAUGACA